AAUGAAGCGCCAUGGAGGGUGAGAGCCCCGUCCAUCCCGCACAGGAUCCAUUCGUACAAGGACGCUUCAACCGAGUCGGGUAGCUUGGGAAUGCUGCUCUAAUUGGUGGUAAAUCUCAUCAAAGGCUAAAUAGUGGUGGGAGACCGAUAGCGAACAAGUACCGUGAGGGAAAGAUGGAAAGAACUUUGAAAAGAGAGUGAAAAGCACUUGAAACCGUCACGGGGGAAGCGGAUUGCGUGAGUGAUGGUGUCGCUUGUUCAGCGCUUUAUUGCGUGCAUUCUGGCGGCGCCGUGCCGGCGUGGCUGGCUGGACUGUGAUUUUGACAGUCUCGGCUGGUGAGGGCUCCCUCGUAUGAGGUGAGGACGCGGGCAAAAUGACGCAAUACGACCCGUCUUGAAACACGGACCAAGGAGUCUAGCACGGCUGCGAGUCGAAGAGUGAUUAAACUCAAGGGCGCAGUGAAAGCGAAAUUAUAAGCAAAUUGGGGAGGCGUUGCGUUUUUAACAAAAUGUCCUACCUCGAGCAUUUGUGCUGGGACCCGAAAGAUGGUGAACUAUGCCGGAGUAGGGCAAAGCCAGAGGAAACUCUGGUGGAGGCUCGUAGCGAUGCUGACGUGCAAAUCGCUCGUCGAACUUGGGUAUAGGGGCGAAAGACUAAUCGAACCAUCUAGUAGCUGGUUCCCUCCGAAGUUUCUCUCAGGAUAGCGGCCCGACACGCGUUUGUUGUUUUGUGCGGUAAAGCGAAUGAUUAGUGCAUUUGGGGUACGAAGUACUUCGGGCGAUUCUCAAACUUUAAAUGCGCAAGGGGGUGGCUGCUUAAUUGAGCCUACUCUUUGAAAAACGUCGGCCCUGUGGGCCACUUUUGGUAAGC
This 870-nucleotide ribosomal RNA is filed under the name Palmaria palmata (dulse). RNAcentral describes it as "eukaryotic LSU rRNA". It matches the Rfam family "Eukaryotic large subunit ribosomal RNA", at positions 194 to 1145 of the family's 3401-position model. The record is from RNAcentral. Lineage: Eukaryota; Rhodophyta; Florideophyceae; Palmariales; Palmariaceae.